UGGGGAAUAUUGCACAAUGGGCGAAAGCCUGAUGCAGCGACGCCGCGUGAGGGAUGAAGGCCUUCGGGUUGUAAACCUCUUUCAGCAGGGAAGAAGCGCAAGUGACGGUACCUGCAGAAGAAGCGCCGGCUAACUACGUGCCAGCAGCCGCGGUAAUACGUAGGGCGCAAGCGUUGUCCGGAAUUAUUGGGCGUAAAGAGCUCGUAGGCGGUUUGUCGCGUC
RNAcentral lists this ribosomal RNA (222 nucleotides) under uncultured Cellulomonas sp. RNAcentral's name for it is "partial 16S ribosomal RNA". It matches the Rfam family "Bacterial small subunit ribosomal RNA", at positions 355 to 589 of the family's 1533-position model. Lineage: Bacteria; Bacillati; Actinomycetota; Actinomycetes; Micrococcales; Cellulomonadaceae. The record is from RNAcentral.